This 696-nucleotide ribosomal RNA is filed under the name bacterium IARFR1792. RNAcentral describes it as "bacterial SSU rRNA". It matches the Rfam family "Bacterial small subunit ribosomal RNA", at positions 63 to 755 of the family's 1533-position model. The record is from RNAcentral.
CGAACGAAAGCGCCUUUAUUUGAUUUUCUUCGGAACUGAAGAUUUGGUGACUGAGUGGCGGACGGGUGAGUAACGCGUGGGUAACCUGCCCUGUACAGGGGGAUAACAGUCAGAAAUGACUGCUAAUACCGCAUAAGACCACAGCACCGCAUGGUGCAGGGGUAAAAACUCCGGUGGUACAGGAUGGACCCGCGUCUGAUUAGCUGGUUGGUGAGGUAACGGCUCACCAAGGCGACGAUCAGUAGCCGGCUUGAGAGAGUGAACGGCCACAUUGGGACUGAGACACGGCCCAAACUCCUACGGGAGGCAGCAGUGGGGAAUAUUGCACAAUGGGGGGAACCCUGAUGCAGCGACGCCGCGUGAGUGAAGAAGUAUCUCGGUAUGUAAAGCUCUAUCAGCAGGGAAGAAAAUGACGGUACCUGACUAAGAAGCCCCGGCUAACUACGUGCCAGCAGCCGCGGUAAUACGUAGGGGGCAAGCGUUAUCCGGAAUUACUGGGUGUAAAGGGUGCGUAGGUGGUAUGGCAAGUCAGAAGUGAAAACCCAGGGCUUAACUCUGGGACUGCUUUUGAAACUGUCAGACUGGAGUGCAGGAGAGGUAAGCGGAAUUCCUAGUGUAGCGGUGAAAUGCGUAGAUAUUAGGAGGAACAUCAGUGGCGAAGGCGGCUUACUGGACUGAAACUGACACUGAGGCACG